Molecule: ribosomal RNA, 253 nt
Filed under: uncultured bacterium
Lineage: Bacteria
Description: partial 16S ribosomal RNA
Rfam family: Bacterial small subunit ribosomal RNA
Source: RNAcentral
UACAGAGGGUGCAAGCGUUGUUCGGAAUUAUUGGGCGUAAAGCGCACGUAGGCGGUUCGUUAUGUCGGAUGUGAAAGCCCUCGGCUUAACCGGGGAAGUGCAUCCGAAACUGGCGAGCUUGAGUACUAAAGAGGGUCGCGGAAUUCCCGGUGUAGAGGUGAAAUUCGUAGAUAUCGGGAGGAACACCAGCGGCGAAGGCGGCGACCUGGGUAGAUACUGACGCUGAGGUGCGAAAGCGUGGGGAGCAAACAGG